Molecule: ribosomal RNA, 274 nt
Filed under: uncultured bacterium
Lineage: Bacteria
Description: partial 16S ribosomal RNA
Rfam family: Bacterial small subunit ribosomal RNA
Source: RNAcentral
AUACGGAGGGGACAAGCGUUAUUCGGAAUCACUGGGCGUAAAGGACGCGUAGGCGGGUUAUUAAGUCGGGUGUGAAAUCCAAUGGCUCAACCAUUGAACUGCAUUCGAAACUGAUAACCUAGAGUAUGGAAGGGGCAGGUGGAAUUAGUGGUGUAGGAGUAAAAUCCGUAGAUAUCACUAGGAAUACCGAAAGCGAAGGCGACCUGCUGGGACAUUACUGACGCUGAGGCGUGAAAGCGUGGGGAGCAAACAGGAUUAGAAACCCUAGUAGUCC